GCAAAAAUCUCUGGGGAGAAAAAUAUAACUAAUUAAUCACAAUCAGUUAUAGAAUUCUUUGUUCCUUCUCCACUCCCACUGCUUCACUUGACUACCCUUAA
Molecule: small RNA, 101 nt
Filed under: Microcebus murinus (gray mouse lemur)
Lineage: Eukaryota; Metazoa; Chordata; Mammalia; Primates; Cheirogaleidae
Description: Y RNA (ENSMICG00000024333.3)
Rfam family: Y RNA
About the family: Y RNAs are components of the Ro ribonucleoprotein particle (Ro RNP), in association with Ro60 and La proteins. The Y RNAs and Ro60 and La proteins are well conserved, but the function of the Ro RNP is not known. In humans the RNA component can be one of four small RNAs -- hY1, hY3, hY4 and hY5.
Source: RNAcentral